Molecule: ribosomal RNA, 871 nt
Filed under: Brommella sp. ZZ-2016
Lineage: Eukaryota; Metazoa; Arthropoda; Arachnida; Araneae; Dictynidae
Description: SSU rRNA
Rfam family: Eukaryotic small subunit ribosomal RNA
Source: RNAcentral
AGCCAUGCAUGUCUAAGUACAUGCCGUAUCAAGGCGAAACCGCGAAUGGCUCAUUAAAUCAGUUAUGGUUCCUUGGAUCGUACCUUACUACUUGGAUAACUGUGGCAAUUCUAGAGCUAAUACAUGCAGCAGAGCUCCAACCUUCGGGGACGAGCGCUUUUAUUAGACCAAAACCAAUCGGACCUCGUGUCCGUCUAUUGUGGUGACUCUGUAUAACUUUGGGCUGAUCGCACGGGCCUGUCCCGGCGACGUAUCCUUCAAGUGUCUGCCUUAUCAACUUUCGAUGGUAGGUUACGCGCCUACCAUGGUCGUAACGGGUAACGGGGAAUCAGGGUUCGAUUCCGGAGAGGGAGCCUGAGAAACGGCUACCACAUCCAAGGAAGGCAGCAGGCGCGCAAAUUACCCACUCCCAGAACGGGGAGGUAGUGACGAAAAAUAACAAUACGGGACUCUAUUGAGACCCCGUAAUUGGAAUGAGUACACUCUAAAUCCUUUAACGAGGAUCCAUUAGAGGGCCAGUCUGGUGCCAGCCGCCGCGGUAAUUCCAGCUCUAAUAGCGUAUAUUAAAGUUGUUGCGGUUAAAAAGCUCGUAGUUGGAUCUCAGUUCCAGACGGGUGGUCCGCCUACCGGUGGUUACUGCCUGUUCUGAACAGCCAGCCGGUUUCUCUUGAUGAUCUUCACCGGUUGUCUUGGGUGACCGGCAAGUUUACUUUGAAAAAAUUAGAGUGCUCAAGGCAGGCGUGACGCCUGAAUAAUGGUGCAUGGAAUAAUGGAAUAGGACCUCGGUUCUAUUUUGUUGGUUUUCGGAACACGAGGUAAUGAUUAAGAGGGACAGACGGGGGCAUUCGUAUUGCGACGCUAGAGGUGAAAU